GGAAUUUUAAAAUUUUAUAAGAGUUUGGUUUUAAAUUUGACAGUUCUGUUUUCUCAAGUCAAAAAUCUUAACCUUACUUUUACAAGUGAGUAGGAUUAUUAUUAUUAUUUUAUUUACAUGUAAAUUGAAACAAUAAAUAUUGUGGCUGUGUCAUAAUUUCAAACUCAUUAUGUUGCAGUCUUUUCCAGUUGAUAAAAUUGCAAUUCAAAAACUUUUAGAUUUGCACUGUAUGGAUGGCACAGGAAGAGAAACAAGAGUACAAGAACAUGAAACAUCCUAUUAUAAAUGUAUAUGUAUGUGAUCCUCAAAAAAUUAUUUUACAAAACAAGAUAGAGAAAGAGCUUUAAAAUCCCAAGGAUCCUGCAAAAUGUUUAUUUGGUGUACUAGUCGAAUAAUAGUAUCUAAAAAUAUUGAAACUAUUUUAUGGGCAUGAGGAUGAUAUAGAGCACUUACAUAAAUACCAAAAUCAGAUAAAUAUCUCUUCAAAGUUUAUUUUGAGACUUUCUUCAAAAAUUAAACUUCAGACUGUACAGGAUAGCAUAAUAGCAUAGGAGGCGAAUUAAAAAGAAUUGAUUUACUUACAAGAAAAGAUAUCACAAACAUUAAACUCUCUUAUGGCAUUGAUUUGAAAGAUGGGUAUAUGUACAAUGAUGAUGCAACCAGUGUUUAUUUUUGGGUUGAAUGCUUACAGACUCAUGUCCAAUAUUAUUUUACAAACAACAGGGCAUACUAAUGGAUAUUCAUUAUGAAUUUAACAUUUAUGAUUUUUGUCUUAUGUUCCUUAAUACUGUGCCAAAAGUUUGGUAAAUCCUUUAUCGCAAUCGAUGGAACUCAUGGGCUCAAUUCCUAUGACUUUGAACUUAUGACAGUAUUAGUAAAAGAUGAAUUUGGGAAUGGAUUUUGUACUGCUUUCUUAUUUUCAAAUAGAAAAGAUACCUACUUUAAUUUACCAAUUUUUUUAAAUACAUGUCUGUGUUGGUAUUAUAUGUAUAGUCAAAUGUUUUCAUAUCAGGCAUAAGCGACACCUUUUACAAUGCCUCGUCAAAUGUAAUGGUUAUUGCUCCUAAUAGACUGUUAAGUGCCUGGCACAUAAAUAGGGAAUGCUAAGUAAAUCUUAAUAAAAUAUCUGAUUCUGAAAAAAAUCCUAUUAUGUAUACAAGAUGUAUUAAUGAUGGUUUAGAGAGUAUUAAUAGCUUUUUGGGUAGACUUCUAAGUGAUGCAGAUACAUACAAUUUUAGUAAGUAUUUCCAGUAGAACUACUGCAAUAACAUCCAACAAUGGGCCUAUUGUUAUAGGAAGGGGUUGUGGAAUUAAUACCAAUAUGACCAUUCAAAAUUUUCAUAAAAUUUUGGAUAAAAGGGUAUCCAUUAGUUGUUAUCAGUUAAGUUUAAAACUUGGCACUCAUGGAGAGCUAUACCAUAAUAUAUAAUAGGUAUAUCUCAUAAUAUUACAUCUCAUAUUGCUCACUCAUUACAAUAGUGAGCAAUAUGAGAUGUAACAUAUUAUAGUAUAAGUCUCUGUGCAUGACCAGAUUAACAUGUUUGGUGCCCAUCUCGAACAAGCUCCACUUGGCUGGUACCACAUACUUAAAUCAUUUAUUUAGUUACACAGUACUACUCACAUAACUUAUGUGUCGUCAGUACCUUCCGUAAAACCUUCGUGAUGCUAUCCAUACGUCAUGGCCACUGAAUGUGUUAAAGCUUGUUAAUGUAGGAGAGUUAUACUAAAAUAUAUAUCUUAUAUUAUAUUGCCUUCAAUAGAAAAAAUAUCUUAUUUAAAUUGUAUCCAUGUAAGUUUUGAUUUAAUGAAAUAAACCUUUUAAUCAAAAAAGUGUUGUUUACUUGUGUACACCUAGCAAUAU
RNAcentral lists this long non-coding RNA (1861 nucleotides) under Diabrotica virgifera virgifera (western corn rootworm). RNAcentral's name for it is "uncharacterized LOC126884333". Lineage: Eukaryota; Metazoa; Arthropoda; Insecta; Coleoptera; Chrysomelidae. The record is from RNAcentral.